Non-coding RNA from Cinara cedri, 243 nucleotides. The record is from the annotation of a GenBank genome assembly. Lineage: Eukaryota; Metazoa; Arthropoda; Insecta; Hemiptera; Aphididae.
AGAAUAUAUAAAUUGUAUUUUUAAGAUAAUUGGAUUGGAAAUCGAAGUCCCGAAAUCUAAUGGCCAACACGUAGUCCAGACAUGGCACCCAUGGAUUUUUUUCUCUGGAGAUAUGUGAAAAAUGCUGUUAAUGAAAAAAUGUCAUCUAGUAAAAAUGAUCUAAAAAAAUUAACGAAGUUUGUUCAAAUAUACUACCUAACAUUUAAAAGAAAUGUACGAACGAAAAUGUUUUAAAACGCAUGG